RNAcentral lists this ribosomal RNA (468 nucleotides) under uncultured bacterium. Its description in RNAcentral is "partial 16S ribosomal RNA". It matches the Rfam family "Bacterial small subunit ribosomal RNA", at positions 28 to 507 of the family's 1533-position model. The record is from RNAcentral.
GACGAACGCUGGCGGCGUGCUUAACACAUGCAAGUCAAACGGAAAGGCCCUGCUUUUGUGGGGUGCUCGAGUGGCGAACGGGUGAGUAACACGUGAGUAACCUGCCCUUGACUUUGGGAUAACUUCAGGAAACUGGGGCUAAUACCGGAUAGGAGCUCCUGCUGCAUGGUGGGGGUUGGAAAGUUUCGGCGGUUGGGGAUGGACUCGCGGCUUAUCAGCUUGUUGGUGGGGUAGUGGCUUACCAAGGCUUUGACGGGUAGCCGGCCUGAGAGGGUGACCGGCCACAUUGGGACUGAGAUACGGCCCAGACUCCUACGGGAGGCAGCAGUGGGGAAUAUUGCACAAUGGGCGGAAGCCUGAUGCGGCAACGCCGCGUGCGGGAUGACGGCCUUCGGGUUGUAAACCGCUUUCGCCUGUGACGAAGCGUGAGUGACGGUAAUGGGUAAAGAAGCACCGGCUAACUACGUG